This 76-nucleotide transfer RNA is filed under the name Candidatus Daviesbacteria bacterium RIFCSPHIGHO2_01_FULL_41_45. RNAcentral describes it as "tRNA-Ile". It matches the Rfam family "tRNA". Rfam says of the family: Transfer RNA (tRNA) molecules are approximately 80 nucleotides in length. Their secondary structure includes four short double-helical elements and three loops (D, anti-codon, and T loops). The record is from RNAcentral. RNAcentral also lists the same sequence under 2 other names. Lineage: Bacteria; Candidatus Daviesiibacteriota.
GGGCGGAUGGCGCAACGGUUAGCGCAAAUGUCUUAUACACAUUAGGUUCCUGGUUCGAAUCCAGGUCCGCCCACCA